This 205-nucleotide unclassified non-coding RNA is filed under the name Hevea brasiliensis (rubber tree). Lineage: Eukaryota; Viridiplantae; Streptophyta; Magnoliopsida; Malpighiales; Euphorbiaceae. The record is from RNAcentral.
GUAACGGUAAGGGUUAUCAUUCCAUCACCAUUAGACUACAAAAUUGCUCAAAACGAAAAUGGAUUAAUUUACCGUUCGAAGUUCCAACUGUCAGAAGUCCAAUCCAACCGUCCACAAAAAUUCCGGUGGGAAAAAAAUGAAAAUUAAUAUAUUAAAAGGAAAAAACAAAAAAGAUUCAGCCAGAUUCCAUUCCAGUGGUUCGUUA